ACAAAGUAGGUUGAAAAUCCAUCGGGCACGACUCUGCUGCAGCACCCGUUGUUGAUUUGAUAAGUGAAAACCUGGCGCAAACUGGUGACAUAGGUGCAGUGACUCUUGGAGCUGCCAUACUGCGGGAUAUGAUAACCUUACUUGAGGAUCCGGCGCUGCUAGCCUCUAAGGUUGUUAAUGACAAUCCUCCCCCUGCAACCGAGAUUGCAGCAACUACAACAGUGGUGAGUAUCAAAGAGGGGGCUGUAGUAGUCUCACAGAGUGGCAAGGAAUCUGGGGAGAAGGUUGUGCCAACUGCUGUGCUUGAGCAAGCGUUGGGCAAGAAUGUUUCUCAUGCUGGAGCUUCUUUUUCUCAGCAGCAAGUCCUUACUCCAAGUGGGAGGGCUAGUGUGGUGGCCGAGGCUCCAGUGUUGUCGCAGAAAGUUGAAAUUUUUGAGAGUCCCCGGAAGAGCUGCCGCCAAUAUCAUACUUAGUGAACUUGAAUCAGCAGUUGACGACUUAUAUCAGGUGAGUUCUUAGUGCUACGUUUGAGUACUUAAUUUUGUAGCCUGGCACCAUUUGCACUCGUGAAGAGUACUAAUUGUUUGAUUGUGCAAGAUUUAUAUGAAAAAUCUCG
Molecule: long non-coding RNA, 616 nt
Filed under: Setaria viridis
Lineage: Eukaryota; Viridiplantae; Streptophyta; Magnoliopsida; Poales; Poaceae
Description: long non-coding RNA (SVIR_LNC007609)
Source: RNAcentral